CCGCACGCGCGCUACACUGACAGAGCCAACGAGUUAUUCACCUUGGCCGGAAGGUCUGGGUAAUCUUGUUAAACUCUGUCGUGCUGGGGAUAGAGCAUUGCAAUUAUUGCUCUUCAACGAGGAAUGCCUAGUAAGCGCAUGUCAUCAGCAUGCGUUGAUUACGU
RNAcentral lists this ribosomal RNA (164 nucleotides) under uncultured eukaryote. RNAcentral's name for it is "partial 18S rRNA". It matches the Rfam family "Eukaryotic small subunit ribosomal RNA", at positions 1487 to 1650 of the family's 1831-position model. The record is from RNAcentral.